CACCAGAAACCUCUGCGCCUGCGGUUUUGACAGCAUCCAGAAAGUCAUGGUCGAUGGGAGGAGGGGAAAGGUCGAAAGGGGAGGCAUGAGCUGAGAUGGACCAAGAGAUUAGCUUCUUCUUCUUCUGCUUCAUCAGAUGGAGAAGGUUUCGGGGAAAACAAGGUUUGGGCGAAACAGACAGACACCGUGGUUUGCUCCGAGGGCUCAAGCAUGUUGAUGCUAGUGAUGACACUGUUGUCAUUUCGGAGGAGGAGGAAGCUAACAAGUGAAUUGGAGUUGAACUGAAACUUGAGUGAAUCGAAAAUUCAUAGACGAAAGACAAGAGAUAAUGAAAAAAAGAAAGAAGGGAUUACAUGUUUUUUUUUUUUUAAUUAUAAAAAUAUAUUGUCAUCUAUAUUAUGUUUUAAAAAAUGUAUAUUUUAUAAUAUAUGAUAAUAAUAUUAUAACUUUCUUAACAAAUUAAUUUUAACACAUAAAAGUAUUGCAAAUAAUGUGUGUUCAAUAUUAGUUAAAAGUAUUUUUUUAUGGGUCGAUCAAUUUUAAUAUGGUUCACCGUAAAAUUAUCAUACAGUAUAAUUAUUAUUUUUUUUUAAAUAAAAUGUUAUACAUCAGAGAAGUGUUGUAUUACAUGAUUCGUUUACGGCAUGACAUAGAUCAUAGAUGACAAAAGUAUUUUUGAUAAAAUUUGUUUAAGAGAACUCAAGCUAGCCGCAACGCAUUUCAUUUUGUUGGCAUUUGAUGAUAGCCAACAAAAUGAAAAUGAAAUUGUUUUUAAAUCAUAAUUGUGCAUUCUAGCAUUUUCCAAAUUAUUGUGGGCAUGUUUGUAUUAAAAUUAGGGUGGAGGUAUACUCCUUUUCAUCAUAAACAAAAGUGAAAGUUAUUUCAUCAAAUAUAACUCAUUUGUUCCUUUACAAAAAUGUGUUUUUUCAUUAGAAUGUUUCCUAAUGUGGAUUUAAAGUGUAUCAAAAAAAAAAGUGUAUCCAAACACACUAUAUCAUUGCACAUGCUUAAUAGUUUAUCGUUUGUGUUACAAUUUUUUUUGUUUAGUUAUGUUACAAAUUCUUUAAACAUAAUAUUACUAUUCAUUUAAAGAGAAGCUAAUAAUGUAUUAUACUUUCAUAAUUUUAACACAAUUUAUUAAGAAACUAAUACGAGUUGCAUAAAAAACAGUAGCUCCUACCAAAUAAAAAUAUAGAACCUAAUAAUUCAGUGAAGUCCAUAUAAAUUCAUUUUACAAUAAAGAUGUGUUAAAAGUAUUAAAAUAAAUAUCGGCCUUCAUCCUUGUAGGUAGUCUAACUCUUGAUUUUUUUGCAGACUAAUGUUAUCAAGAUAAAAUUUGUCUACCCAGGAUGAACUAGUUAGGUAAAUUAGUCUACUAGAGCAUACAUAGUCGGAAACAAACCCAUUAGAUUAAGCACUGAAGAACCCUGACGUGGGAAACCAUCUGCAGCAAGAUGAUAUCACACAGGCAUAAACCAUUAGAUACAAGUAACUUUACAUGAGUCAUAGCAAAGAAAAAAAUAGCACAAUAAAUUAUGGCAGGGUCUUGAGGAUAACAUGUACUCAUGACUCAACUUUGCAGGGCAAGUCCAGUCUGAUUAAACGGGAUCUACAAUGUCAAAUUCUCCUCUUUCAGUUGCCUCUGGUACGUCAAGGACCAACUCUCCCAAAUAAAGAGAAAACCCACAUUGACAUCCAAAUCACCCUUCCAGGUUUAGUAUUCAGUUUGGACUGCAGUUCUCAUGAGACAUUGACUAAUGACCAGCAGCAAAUUAGGAGGACCCUAAGGCUCACCCGGGACACAUGAUCAUGUGGUGCUCUAGCUCUAAAACAGCUGCUCACCUUCUUAUUCUAUGAAAGACGUUUUACGACACCAAACUAUUGACUUAAAUUAAAAGGAAAAAACAAAUAUUUCUUCCCUUCUUUUGUUAGUAGCAGUUUUGGACAUGUUUGCAACAGUUUUAACUCUACAUAAUCCCAAUAGACCUGAGAACAUGCAUUACUCUAAUGUGGGGAGGCAAUAGUUCAAGAAAAGCAAGUACCUCUUAUCCGGCCAAAGUGUGAAAGAUCCACAACCUAAACCAUGAGAUGCCACAGAGAAAUUAAAUGAAGCAAAAAACAAAAUCGCACAUUAUCUAACACAAUAGCAAAUGUAGCUUAAUAAUUUGGUAAUCAACUAAUCAUUCAUAUUGAAUUAUAUUUAUAUAAGACUUCAAAAUUGUAUUAACUUUUUCAUAUAAAAUUCAAUACCACAUUACUACAAAAAGUAUUUUGUGGAAACUCUGAAAUUACAAUUUGAUAAUCCAAAGGAAUAGAACAGAAUACAUACAGCAACCCCAUUGUCGGCAGCAUCCAGCGCUUCUUCAUCAGUGUGAAAUGUUUCAACGAUUCCGUCACCAGAAACCUCUGCGCCUGCGGUUUUGACAGCAUCCAGAAAGUCAUGGUCGAUGGGAGGAGGGGAAAGGUCGAAAGGGGAGGCAUGAGCUGAGAUGGACCAAGAGAUUAGCUUCUUCUUCUUCUGCUUCAUCAGAUGGAGAAGGUUUCGGGGAAAACAAGGUUUGGGCGAAACAGACAGACACCGUGGUUUGCUCCGAGGGCUCAAGCAUGUUGAUGCUAGUGAUGACACUGUUGUCAUUUCGGAGGAGGAGGAAGCUAACAAGUGAAUUGGAGUUGAACUGAAACUUGAGUGAAUCGAAAAUUC
RNAcentral lists this long non-coding RNA (2701 nucleotides) under Lotus japonicus. Its description in RNAcentral is "long non-coding RNA (LJAP_LNC001924)". The record is from RNAcentral. Lineage: Eukaryota; Viridiplantae; Streptophyta; Magnoliopsida; Fabales; Fabaceae.